RNAcentral lists this long non-coding RNA (352 nucleotides) under Nicotiana benthamiana. RNAcentral describes it as "long non-coding RNA (NBEN_LNC039732)". Lineage: Eukaryota; Viridiplantae; Streptophyta; Magnoliopsida; Solanales; Solanaceae. The record is from RNAcentral.
CUUGGUGCUGCAGCAAGGCGAAGUAAGCGAGAAAAUAAUUCAUCAACUGUGGGGACAGUCGGACUAGCCAAAAUUUGAUCGCGUACUGAGUCAAGAUCAUUAGGAAGCCCAGCAAGAGUAAGAACUAGAAACAGCUUUUGUUGCUCUUGCUGCUUUGCAACGCUAGCAGAAAUAUUGUCAAGUACUUCAUUAAGCUUCAGACGAAAGUGAUUGAGCCAUUAGAUAUGGUUUAUUGUGCAAGGAAAAAUUUAUGAGACGUCGUGUCUGGCAAUGAAUCAGUGGUAAAGCUAAACUGCUGAAGUUUCCUUGAGGUUUCUUUGGUUUCUCACUAAUUUCUUAUGCGUUGCAAGGU